GACGAACGCUGGCGGCGUGCUUAACACAUGCAAGUCGAGCGGUAAGGCCCUUUCGGGGGUACACGAGCGGCGAACGGGUGAGUAACACGUGGGUGACCUGCCCUCAGCUCUGGGAUAAGCCUGGGAAACCGGGUCUAAUACUGGAUAUGACUCCAUGACGCAUGUUGUGGGGUGGAAAGCCUUGUGCGGCUGAGGAUGGGCCCGCGGCCUAUCAGCUAGUUGGUGGGGUAACGGCCACCAAGGCUAUGACGGGUAGCUGGUCUGAGAGGACGAUCAGCCACACUGGGACUGAGACACGGCCCAGACUCCUACGGGAGGCAGCAGUUGGGAAUAUUGGGCAAUGGGCGCAAGCCUGACCCAGCGACACCGCGUGGGGACGGAGGCCUCCGGGUUGUAAACCCCUGUCAUGAGGGACGAAGCCGAAAGGUGACGGUACCUCAAGAGGAAGCCCCGGCUAACUACGUGCCAGCAGCCGCGGUAAU
Molecule: ribosomal RNA, 482 nt
Filed under: uncultured bacterium
Lineage: Bacteria
Description: bacterial SSU rRNA
Rfam family: Bacterial small subunit ribosomal RNA
Source: RNAcentral